GAUGAACGCUGGCGGCGUGCCUAAUACAUGCAAGUCGAGCGAACGGACGAGAAGUUUGCUUCUCUGAUGUUAGGGGCGGACGGGUGAGUCACACGUGUAUACCCUACCUAUAAGACUGGGAUCACUUCGGGAAACCGUAUCUAAUACCGGAUAAUAUUUUGAACCACAUGGUUCAAAAGUGAAAUUCGGUCUUGCUGUCACUUAUAGCUGGAUCCGCGCUGCGUUGGCUAGUUGGUAAGGUAACGGCUUUCCAAGGCAACGAUGCAUAGCCGACCUGACAGGGGGAUGGGCCACACAGGAACUGAGACACGAGCCAGACUCUGACGGAAGGCAGAGGUAGGGAAGGUGGCGCAAUGGGGGAAAGCCUGACGAAGCAACGCAGCUUGGGUGAUGAAGGUCUGCGGAUCGUAAGACUCUGUUAUUGGGGAAAAACAUAUGUGUAAGUAACGGUGCACAUCUGAACGGAACCUAAGCAGAAAGCCACGCCAAACUACUU
Molecule: ribosomal RNA, 496 nt
Filed under: uncultured bacterium
Lineage: Bacteria
Description: partial 16S ribosomal RNA
Rfam family: Bacterial small subunit ribosomal RNA
Source: RNAcentral